GCACUGGGGAGUUUCCCAAAGCAUACAGUUGUAUACAGUUAGAACUGAGGCCAGGUAGGGUCAGGGCAGGACACUGCCUAUCAGAAAAAGCCAGAUAGUCUACUCUGUAAGGCCUGUGAGCUCUCCUGUCAGGGAGGCCUUUGUUUUUUGUGCCUGUGUGAAAUGCUGCUGCACAUGUGGUCACAAAAACAGAAGACGCCUGCUCUCACCCUCUCCUGAAAUCUUUUUGACAUCUCCUGUCUGUCUCCAGUCCAACUCUACCUGUCACCUUCUCCCUGUCAUAUCCGUUAGAGCCUCUGGGUAUGACAGGUUUGGCCAGGCAGAGAAGAGAGGAAGGCCCAGGGAAGGAAGGCAGAAGCCAUGGCAAGAGAAAAGGAGAAGAGACACG
This 388-nucleotide long non-coding RNA is filed under the name Rattus norvegicus (Norway rat). RNAcentral describes it as "long non-coding RNA NONRATT027149". The record is from RNAcentral. Lineage: Eukaryota; Metazoa; Chordata; Mammalia; Rodentia; Muridae.